GGAGGGUCGGGUAACGGCUUUCCAGAAUUCAAAAAUUCAAAUUGGCGGCUGCUGUGUGUGCUUGAAAGGGUCGAGGGGGGGCGGGGCGGUGGUGCCCCUCCCAGGAACCACCACUGGAUCUGAAAAGAGUCCAGCAGGUUUCCACUGAGCUGCCUGCCCGCAGGGGGAGCGGGUGUCACUCCUGCUCUUGGAGGGCUAAAGCCUGAGGUGUGAGAGGAGGGAGCUGGGACCACCAUCUCUGCUUUCUUAGAAGGGCCCAACCCUGAGAGGAGGAUCCGGAGCGGCCUGUAGAAGACGGUCCUGGCCUGGAGCACUCCUGUGGGCGGCUGGCUUGCUAAGGCUAGAUUUAUGACUUUCAAGGAUGAGGGCUUUUUACCUGGUUGCUCUUGAAGUGACGCAUUGAAUAAUUUUGUGUGAUUACAAACUGUAAUAACUGUGGGGUAUGGAAAUAUUCCAGAGGGGAUCCUGAGAGGCCAGCAGAAGAUGGUCCCUGCUUGGAGGGCUCCUGUGGGCGGCUUGUUUGCUAAGCCUGGAUAUUCUUCAUUUCACUUUACUCGCAAAUAAACAAGCCAGCAACAACCACAACAAAGCCUCCCUUUGAGACACACAGGAGGCGGAACAAGUUUUGAAUUCAAGGGACUGAAAGGAAACAAGUGGCACAGAAGUCAAGGGAAUCUACACCACCAGGUUCAACAGAGGCAGCCGUGACCAUCGGGCCUCUGGGGAAGAGAGCUGGCCUUGUGGGUACAAGCAUGAAUGGCCCCCUUUGCUAAGUGGGGUCUGCCUUGGUUUGCAUUUGGAUGGAAGACUACAUGUGUGAGCACUGGAAGAAGUUCCCCUGAGGGGAUGGGGCCAAAGCUGAGGGGAAGAGCUCCUGCCUGCUUGUAUGCAGAAGAUCUCCACGGACUCCCUGGCAUCUCCAGGUAGGGCUGGGAGAGACCCCUGCCUGCGAUCUUCCAUCUCUUCUGCCUGUCAGGAGGAGGUGAGUCCAGCAAGAACACCGGCUCUUUGAAAGGCAGUCCACACACCAUGCCAGUGGGAUCAAUCAAUUCAAAUUUAAUACUAAGCAAACAACAAGAAGCACCAAAGCAACUAACUACAAGACGAGCAACAGAUCCCUGCAAUGCUGCACAGCUAUAAAGAAGAAGAAGAAAGAAUCCAAAGUAGCAGUCUCCCCAGAGAGAAGACUUGCUGUCCUGUCCAAGACUGCACGGCAGGGUCCUCUGGGUCUGGUGGUCAAGGAAAACCCAGGCCGCCCUGUGAUGCUCCGCCUCCCUGCUGAAAGAGUGACGAGGUUCAAGCCGGAGCCUUGCCUGGAUCCAGCUGCAGAGUGUGGGGAGAGGCGGAGAAGGCAGAACAGUGAGUGGGCUGUCUUUCCAGCCGGGCCACCACCCUGGCCCCACAAUCCCCUGCAAACUGGGGCACCUCUUCACCUCCAGCAUCCUGAGCAGGGGUCUCCUCCAAUGGCCCCGGCUUGGUGCUUUCUCCCACUGGCGGCAGUGAGGGAGUGGGGCAGAUGGCGGGGGCGAGGGUUCUCUGGAGACUCUGGCCCACGAGAGCUCUUCUGGAGAUCCUGAACCCGGGAGGAAGAGCACCAGAGGAUGCUAGAGCCAAGCCAGGGAGGAAGGGGGACCUAAUCGCCAGGUUGCGGAGGAAAAGGCCAGCUUUCCCUGCCACCUCCCACUCAUCCUGACUAUACAUCUGCACGUCAAUAGCCUGGAAGAGGAAACAGGCAAGAUCCUCACCCCGGUAGCCCCUCGCUUGACUGCAGUCAGCUGGGCCCCAAGACGGAGAGGAACCUAGAGGGGGGCUUCUCUUCAGUGUUUCUGCAGCAGCCUCACAAAUGAAGCUUCCCCCAAUGUCCUCUGAGUAUCCAAUGGGCCCCCCCUCUGGGUCAGGAGAGGAAGAGGGCAUCAUUGGGGUGAGGGCCCAUCUGUGGACUGCCCUUCCCUGGCUGCUCAAAGGGGGAGGCAGCGCCUCAGGGAGUUGCAUGUGUGAACGCUGCCCAUGGCAUGGUGUUGGGGAGCUGAGGCCUCUCCCACUGACUUGCCCAACCCUACCAGGGCAGGGCAGGGCAGGGCAGGGCACGGCAGGGGACCCCAGGUCUUGACACCCACUGGGCCAGGGGAUCCUCUCCCCUUGGCUGGAAGAGGCCACCCUCUCUCCCACUUACUUCUGCCAUGUGGAUGAGGUGUGUCAUCGAGGGCUUCUGUGCCAGCAGUUCCCUCAGCAUGGCCUGGAGGACCUUUUCGGGGGGCAGAAAAGGGCUCUGCAAGGGAGAAAGGGAGCUAGAGUGUGGAUUCCCAGCCCCUCCUCAGGGAGGGGGAAAGGUUCCUCUGGGCUUCCCAAGAGCCCUGGCUGUCCUUUCCGCUCAUGGGGGCUCAAGGCGCCUAUCUCCAUCGGGGAGCUAAGCAGGCCCCCCACUGAUGUAGCACAGGCCCAGAGAGAGUCUUUGCCUAGGUGGGCAGGGGUGGGUGGAAGGAGCUCUGUAAAUAUCUACCUGCUGAUCUGCCUCUGGAGUAUCACCCAGCACGUGGCCCAUGGUGAAGAGACACUCCAUGAUCACCUUCCUCUCUCUAUAGGCCGUGAAGCAGGGCUUCAUCUGGCUGCCAAGAGAAAAGGGGAACGAUGAGAAAGUCAGCUGGAGCGGGGGGAGUGAAUGUCAUCAAGAACCUGGCACCGGAGAAGAAAGGUCUCACCCUCUCCCCCAGCCAGGUCCCUGAUCCGAGGAUUCCCCAGGACUCCAGGCAGAUGUCGUGAAUCUGUUAGUUCUGCUAACCCAACAGGAUUUUACAACCCCCUUCAGCACACCCCCUGAGAGUAAACAGAAAACAGCAGCGAAACGGAAUGAAGGAAAAUAAAAGGCUCAAAAAGAAAA
Hemicordylus capensis (graceful crag lizard) is the source of this 2878-nucleotide long non-coding RNA. RefSeq lists it as uncharacterized. NCBI's taxonomy places the organism in Eukaryota, Metazoa, Chordata, Lepidosauria, Squamata, Cordylidae. The record is from RefSeq and is a predicted model, not a curated record. The transcript has 3 exons.